Molecule: small nucleolar RNA, 134 nt
Organism: Ornithorhynchus anatinus (platypus)
Lineage: Eukaryota; Metazoa; Chordata; Mammalia; Monotremata; Ornithorhynchidae
Product: small nucleolar RNA SNORA69
Exons: 1
Source: RefSeq, a predicted model, not a curated record
AAAGCAGGUUGCAAUUACAGUGCUUCAUUCUGUGGGAGUACUGCCAUUACCCUGCUGAGAGUAAAGCUGUGUUAAAUAUUGCUUUGGUCUUCACAUUCAUAGAGGUGAAGCCCUCCAGUUUAACAUGUACACAU